GUUCGGAUUGUAGUCUGCAACCCGACUACAUGAAGCCGGAAUCGCUAGUAAUCGCGGAUCAGAAUGCCGCGGUGAAUACGUUCCCGGGUCUUGUACACACCGCCCGUCACACCAUGGGAGUCGGGAACACCCGAAGUCCGUAGCCUAACCGCAAGGGGGGCGCGGCCGAAGGUGGGUUCGAUAAUUGGGGUGAAGUCGUAACAAGGUAGC
RNAcentral lists this ribosomal RNA (210 nucleotides) under uncultured bacterium. RNAcentral's name for it is "partial 16S ribosomal RNA". It matches the Rfam family "Bacterial small subunit ribosomal RNA", at positions 1291 to 1500 of the family's 1533-position model. The record is from RNAcentral.